GUCUGUCCAGAAUAUUGUUGCUGACUGGGAAAUUGAGAAGAUGCAGUAGGUGGACCAUACGAAGGUGGAAGACUUGAUGUCAGUGAUGUAGGAGGUCCUUGUUGAUACGGCAAAGAUUUUUGAGCAGAUGGAAAAGGCAUUGUUGGUACAUUCUUCUCAGAUUGCAAGGGAAACCCUUGAGAAGAAGGAGGUCUCUGUGAUCCAGACAGAGACAUGCUAGACAUUUGAUCUGCAAGGUUAUUUUGAUUAGAUUGUGACAAGGAUAGUCCAUGUUGAGCCUCAGGUGCUUGUCCUUGAACAUCGUUCACAUAGUAUGGCGGCCUUAGAGAUGGAGCAUUAUCUGUGGGUGGUGGACCUAAUGGUGGCUUUUGUGAUGGAAAUGAAUGCGAAUCAGGUGGGCCUUUAGGUGGAUGGUUUGCAUUCAGCUCGCUGUAAGGAGCAUUUGCUUGUGUAGGCCCAUAUGGAGGACGUUGUUGCUGCAUGUACUGCGGAUUCAUGUUUUAUUCUGCAACAGAAAAUUUUGUAUUAAAAAAGUAUGAUUUUAUUUAAAAAAUACACAGUAUAUCUACUUCUAGCAGGUUAAAGUAUACCUGCUUCAAUAAACAAUAAAUAAAGUGUUGUAAGAGAGAAUUUGAAAA
This is a long non-coding RNA of Nasonia vitripennis (jewel wasp), 638 nucleotides long. RefSeq lists it as uncharacterized. NCBI's taxonomy places the organism in Eukaryota, Metazoa, Arthropoda, Insecta, Hymenoptera, Pteromalidae. The record is from RefSeq and is a predicted model, not a curated record. The transcript is spliced from 2 exons.